UGCGUACUGAGAGGGAUAUCCGGAAUGAAAUGGUUCUCCAUGAGAGCCACAAGCGAACAUUCAACAACUUGAAAACUGGAUUGAAAAUGAGAGACAGAGCAGCCACUGCAGAAGCUUCCAAAAUCACUCUGCACUUUCUUGAACUGCUGCAAUCCACGUGGUGAUGUAGCUCCCAUGUUGCAAAUUGGAUGCUGUUCAGUUUCUGUCAACGUUCUGAGUCCUCGAAUUUCAACAGGACUGCCACUUCCAUACUAUCUUCAGAGCUUCUCUACCCCACCGUCAGCUCACAGCUGGGUCAGUGUCUUGUUGUUAUUGCAGCAAGUCCGUGAGGGUCUCCAAAAACGAACUUGACAUUUGGCGCAAGAGCAGGGUUCCAACAUGUACAGCAGUC
Molecule: long non-coding RNA, 391 nt
Organism: Stegostoma tigrinum
Lineage: Eukaryota; Metazoa; Chordata; Chondrichthyes; Orectolobiformes; Stegostomatidae
Exons: 4
Source: RefSeq, a predicted model, not a curated record